Molecule: ribosomal RNA, 319 nt
Filed under: uncultured bacterium
Lineage: Bacteria
Description: bacterial SSU rRNA
Rfam family: Bacterial small subunit ribosomal RNA
Source: RNAcentral
GCAUGUUAUUGAACUAAGAUUUANCGGUAUCGGAUGGGGAUGCGUGACAUUAGAUAGUAGGCGGGGUAACGGCCCACCUAGUCGACGAUGGUUAAGGGGUUCUGAGAGGAAGGUCCCCCACACUGGAACUGAGACACGGUCCAGACUCCUACGGGAGGCAGCAGUGAGGAAUAUUGGUCAAUGGCCGAGAGGCUGAACCAGCCAAGUAGCGUGAAGGAUGAAGGUUCUAUGGAUUGUAAACUUCUUUUAUACGGGAAUAACACCAUCUACGUGUAGAUGUCUGCAUGUACCGUAUGAAUAAGCAUCGGCUAACUCCGUG